GCAGCGCGGAAGCCUCCAAAGACACGCAGCCAGCCCAUGAGGAAUGGACACCUGCCAUCUCUCACAGAGGGGCCCAGGGCCUCCAGGAGCCUUCAGUCACUGCAGAGCACAUGGACAUCCCCCAUCUGUGAAGGAAGAACCAUAUCCUGCCUCCUCUGCUAACUGACACAAAGACAAGGAGGAACAAGAGGGAAGAAGGAAAUUGGAUUAUUCACGUCGAAGCAUUAAUUUCUUGAAUUUGGAGAUGGAAAAAGUGAGGCUUUUGUUCCACUAACAACUCUUGCCUUUAGUUUCUUUUUAACAUUACCCUGAUGGGAAAAGUUUCUGUGUGCUCACAUCUGCACAUAGUACAUGUAGCUUCUUCUCCAUGGAAGCAGUCCGUUCACAAAUGAUGUUCAACCAGUAUUGAGAGAGAGGAGCACCUUCAGCAUUGCUGACUUUUCACACUUCUUAGCAGGAUGUUUUAACUUCCAGAGGAAACACUGAUUUUUAAUGUAGAGGUGGGGGUGCAACCACUCAGCAUAUGCCAGGAGCAAUGUCAUACCCCGAAUUAAAGCAAUCCAUAAGAAAGAACAUGACCAAGUCCAACCUGAAGUUUCUCCGCAACACAGCAGAGAGAAACCUUUUUGUUUCCUGUAAUGAAUCAAGAGGACCCAUGUCUGGAUUGCUGCAAAGGACAUUGUGUGCUCUGGUGAUGUGUCUGAGCAAUGUGGUGACUGUAGGCGGACAUCCUCGGUGCUGUGUUGUGGGGAUGAAUAGAUGUCUCGUGCCUGGAAUAAGGAAUGCAGGAGAAGAAAACAGUCAUCUGUAGAGCUCCAUCAAAGGCAGGCAUCGUGCAGAACUGGAUGUCCAGAGGCUUCAUGUCCAGAGAUUUCAUCUGUUGACAGGCAAGUUACUUCCAUGGAAAGCCUGACUUUUUUGGGUCAGAGAUCUGGUUGUUAGAGCUGCAGACUUCCCACAAACGUGCGAGGUCAAGAUGAUCUCUGCUCCGAACAGAGAAAGUUAUUGUGAACGUGCCAAACCCUCUAAAAUUUAGACUGUAAGUUUUUGAGUUGGGAAUCCCAAAUUAAGUGACACAUUUGAGAAUGUUCACAUCGGUCUUUGCCUCAGUUUUUAUGCAUGUAAACCAGAGACAAUGAUUUCACAUUUCCUCAUAGUUGUAUCAUGAAGGUAUAAUCUUAAAUGCAGCAAAAAAUAUAAACUGUUAUGAUGUCCCCAAAAGAAGAAGGGGAGAAGAAAACAAUAGUUUUGUAACCAGUGCAGAGCUGGACAGUGCAUGCAUGAAGCCACAAGCUGGAUAAAGCUAAAAUAUAAUACUGAAAAAUAGCCCAGUUUCAUAAGCCUUGUUUUCUUUAGAUGAGGAAGAAAAUUAGGAAAAAUAAGACAUUGUAAUGCAAUUAAAGACUGUGCUGUGGCACAUAGGCAGAAAGAAGCCAAAUAAAAGUUUGUUGCUUACCUUAAUACUGAUUCCC
This 1472-nucleotide long non-coding RNA is filed under the name Zonotrichia albicollis (white-throated sparrow). RNAcentral describes it as "lncRNA (ENSZALG00000001312.1)". Lineage: Eukaryota; Metazoa; Chordata; Aves; Passeriformes; Passerellidae. The record is from RNAcentral.